CUUGUCUGGUUAUAAUAGUCGUAGAUGUGGUUGUAUAUAGGAAUUAGGUUGUAGCUCCAGCGUUAGAGGUAAUAGUUAUUCUUGAGAGGUUAUUUUAAUGCGACAAUAGGGAUUCCAUAGAAUUAGAAAAAAGGUAUUUAUAUCCUAGAAUUUAAGUUAUUAGUUUCAAUUUUUAAUUCUUCGAAUAUAUAAGAGUAUAGUGGGGUUGUUUUAUUAUUUUAAUUAUUUUGUAUUGUUUUUAUUGAUUUAAUUAUUAUUAUUUUAGUAAUAUUUCUAGAUAUCCCAGAAUAGCAGGGAAUAAUUGUAAAUUCGGAAAAUUGAAUUUUCAUUUUAAGUUAAUUAAUUAAUCUCUGUGAUUAAUAAAGCAGUUUGGUAAGUAAGGUCAAAAGUUAAUUUUUUGAUUACUAAUACGAUGGAAACGUGCCAGUUAUAUGGCGCCGGGAAGUUUAUAAAAUGAGUCACCUGUCUGGGCUGAAGGUUAUAAUAUAGUUCUUC
RNAcentral lists this ribosomal RNA (495 nucleotides) under Cardiodactylus riga. RNAcentral's name for it is "LSU rRNA". The record is from RNAcentral. Lineage: Eukaryota; Metazoa; Arthropoda; Insecta; Orthoptera; Gryllidae.